RNAcentral lists this ribosomal RNA (476 nucleotides) under uncultured bacterium. RNAcentral's name for it is "SSU rRNA". It matches the Rfam family "Bacterial small subunit ribosomal RNA", at positions 26 to 518 of the family's 1533-position model. The record is from RNAcentral.
AGAUUGAACGCUGGCGGCGUGCUUAACACAUGCAAGUCGAGCGGUAACGCGGGAGCAAUCCUGGCGACGAGCGGCGAACGGGUGAGUAAUGCUUGGGAAUCUGCCCAUUAGUGGGGAACAACCAGCCGAAAGGUUGGCUAAUACCGCAUACGCCCUACGGGGGAAAGCGGGGGAUCGUAAGACCUCGCGCUAAUGGAUGAGCCCAAGUCGGAUUAGCUUGUUGGUAGGGUAACGGCCUACCAAGGCGACAAUCCGUAGCUGGUCUGAGAGGACGACCAGCCACACUGGGACUGAGACACGGCCCAGACUCCUACGGGAGGCAGCAGUGGGGAAUCUUGGACAAUGGGCGAAAGCCUGAUCCGGCAAUAUGGCGUGAGUGAAGAAGGGCAACGCAGCUUGUAAAGCUCUUUCAUCGAGUGUGCGAUUGUGACAAGACUUGAAUAAGAAGCCCCGGCUAACUCCGUACCAGCAGCCGC